GGGGUUGUGGCUCAGCGGUAGAGCGUUCACCUGGCACGUGGGAGGCACUGGGUUUGGCCCUCAGCACCA
Molecule: transfer RNA, 69 nt
Filed under: Ictidomys tridecemlineatus (thirteen-lined ground squirrel)
Lineage: Eukaryota; Metazoa; Chordata; Mammalia; Rodentia; Sciuridae
Description: Spermophilus tridecemlineatus (thirteen-lined ground squirrel) tRNA
Rfam family: tRNA
About the family: Transfer RNA (tRNA) molecules are approximately 80 nucleotides in length.
Source: Rfam by way of RNAcentral